Molecule: ribosomal RNA, 359 nt
Filed under: uncultured eukaryote
Lineage: Eukaryota
Description: partial 18S ribosomal RNA
Rfam family: Eukaryotic small subunit ribosomal RNA
Source: RNAcentral
CAAUAGCAUAUAUUAACGUUGUUGCAGUUGAAAAGCUCGUAGUUGAACUUUUGGUAGGAGCGACCUGGCCUUGGGCGCAUGCCCUUGUUUGCCGUGUGUCGUGUCUGGCCAUCCUUUUCCGUUUCGGCGGGAAUCUUUUACUGUGAGUAAACUGGAGUGCUCAAAACAAGACGUUUGUUUGGUACAUUAAAGCAUGGAAUAAUAAGAUAGGACCUGGUUACUAUUUUGUUGGUUUGCAUAGCUAGGUAAUGAUUAACAGGGACAGUUGGGGGUAUUCGUAUUUAAUUGUCAGAGGUGAAAUUCUUGGAUUUAUGAAAGACGAACGACUGCGAAAGCAUUUACCAAGGAUGUUUUCAUUA